GACGAACGCUGGCGGCGUGCUUAACACAUGCAAGUCGAACGAAGAGCGAUGGAAGCUUGCUUCUAUCAAUCUUAGUGGCGAACGUGUGAGUAACGCGUAAUCAACCUGCCCUUCAGAGGGGGACAACAGUUGGAAACGACUGCUAAUACCGCAUACGAUCUAAUCUCGGCAUCGAGGAUAGAUGAAAGGUGGCCUCUACAUGUAAGCUAUCACUGAAGGAGGGGAUUGCGUCUGAUUAGCUAGUUGGAGGGGUAACGGCCCACCAAGGCGAUGAUCAGUAGCCGGUCUGAGAGGAUGAACGGCCACAUUGGGACUGAGACACGGCCCAGACUCCUACGGGAGGCAGCAGUGGGGAAUCUUCCGCAAUGGACGAAAGUCUGACGGAGCAACGCCGCGUGAGUGAUGACGGCCUUCGGGUUGUAAAGCUCUGUUAAUCGGGACGAAAGGCCUUCUUGCGAAUAGUGAGAAGGAUUGACGGUACCGGAAUAGAAAGCCACGGCUAACUACGUG
This 510-nucleotide ribosomal RNA is filed under the name uncultured bacterium. RNAcentral's name for it is "partial 16S ribosomal RNA". It matches the Rfam family "Bacterial small subunit ribosomal RNA", at positions 28 to 507 of the family's 1533-position model. The record is from RNAcentral.